RNAcentral lists this long non-coding RNA (539 nucleotides) under Setaria viridis. Its description in RNAcentral is "long non-coding RNA (SVIR_LNC001298)". The record is from RNAcentral. Lineage: Eukaryota; Viridiplantae; Streptophyta; Magnoliopsida; Poales; Poaceae.
AAAUCUGGAAAUGGGAAAUAGAUAUGCAUCAGAUUUUUUAUUUCAACAAAUUAAUCAGCACUGAAAAGGCACUUUUCUCUUCAUUGAGGUAUAGCAUAAUUCAUAAGCAUGAUCGAAGAAGCAGAAAUAAAAUCAUACGAUUCAUAAAUGUAACCAGUAUCACAGCUGUGCAGGAAAGAUCAGCUCAACUGUCAAGUUACAAUGUUACAUAAUUGCCGGCUACAACAAAAGUAAAACUAACACUAACGUUUUCUAUCUGAGCACUUACCUGGUUAUGCGUACACACGGACUAGAGAUAUUCCAGGCAUGGAUUUCAUGCUUAACCAAAAUCACAGUCGAAAUUAUCAUUGAGCAGUCUUAUCCCAAAUUAUAAAAAUAGACGAGCAGUUUCACAAUUAUGCAGUCAGGGAGAACAAACUAGAUUACAACAUUCAGUUUUCUGCUGAUAAAUUACAUAUCGCAUCCAUCUUCAUGUCAAAAGAUAAUAGACAGGGGCAUCCCAACUAAACACUUUUGAAUCCCCAGUUCCCCACGAAAAC